UGGAUCACUGAUGAUAUUUUGGCUCCCUCUACUGAACUCCAUGUAGAAGACUGCCAUUGUUACCCAAUUUUCGUGCCUUAACAUUCU
Molecule: small nucleolar RNA, 87 nt
Organism: Hippoglossus stenolepis (Pacific halibut)
Lineage: Eukaryota; Metazoa; Chordata; Actinopteri; Pleuronectiformes; Pleuronectidae
Product: small nucleolar RNA SNORD100
Exons: 1
Source: RefSeq, a predicted model, not a curated record